RNAcentral lists this ribosomal RNA (420 nucleotides) under uncultured bacterium. RNAcentral's name for it is "bacterial SSU rRNA". It matches the Rfam family "Bacterial small subunit ribosomal RNA", at positions 358 to 770 of the family's 1533-position model. The record is from RNAcentral.
GGAAUAUUGGACAAUGGGCGAAAGCCUGAUCCAGCCAUGCCGCGUGUGUGAAGAAGGUCUUCGGAUUGUAAAGCACUUUAAGUUGGGAGGAAGGGCAAUAAGCUAAUACCUUGCUGUUUUGACGUUACCGACAGAAUAAGCACCGGCUAACUCUGUGCCAGCAGACGCGGUAAUACAGAGGGUGCAAGCGUUAAUCGGAAUUACUGGGCGUAAAGCGCGCGUAGGUGGUUUGUUAAGUUGGAUGUGAAAGCCCCGGGCUCAACCUGGGAACUGCAUCCAAAACUGGCAAGAUAGAGUACGAUAGAGGGUGGUGGAAUUUCCUGUGUAGCGGUGAAAUGCGUAGAUAUAGGAAGGAACACCAGUGGCGAAGGCGACCACCUGGCCUGAUACUGACACUGAGGUGCGAAAGCGUAGGGAGCA